AUCGGGUUCUUGCUCUUGUAGGUAACUUACGGGGUUUGUCCGCGCUCUGGGAUUUCCUUUGUGUCAAAGGGUUUAGCACAGAGUGCCCAAAAGGCGGCGGAGUGGCGAAGCGGGGGCUUCGGUUGCGCACAGCUUCUGUGUUUUUGUGCCCGGGUCGUGAUGGCGGGCAGCCGGCCGGAGGCACAGGACCAUCCGCCCGAGAACGGCUUCACCCCGCAGGAGCGCCCGGCGCCCCGGCUGCUGCCGCACAUCGACGGGUGCGUGCUGCCGUCUCUGGGGGGCUUCGGGAGACACCAGAAGCAGCUGGUGGUCCUGACCUGGAUACCUGCGCUGUUCAUCGGCUUCAGCCAGUUCUCGGAUCACUUCCUCCUGGCGCAGCCUAACGGGACGUGCGUUUCGCCCGCGGGCAACCUCAGCAACUGGACCGGGUCACCUCUGCUGGCCGUCGGCGCGCCCGCGCUGAAGCUGGAGGCCAACGGCACCGCGGAGGGACCCGGGGAUGGCGCCGGGCUGCUGUGCGCCUGCGAGGAGCGGAGGCUGGAGCUGCAGACGGGACUCCUCCAGAAUGUGGUUACCAAGUGGCACCUGGUGUGUGACUCGGCGUGGAAGGUCCACAUAGCCAAGUUCUCCUUGCUGGUGGGCUCAAUAUUUGGCUACCUGGUGAUGGGUGUCAUGGCUGACUGGUUUGGCCGACACCCGGUGUUGAUUCUCUCGGCCCUUUUCAUGCUGGUGUUCGGCCUGUCUGUCGCCUUCUCUGUAAAUGUCACCAUGUUCAGCACCUUGCGCUUCUUUGAGGGUUUCUGCUUGGCGGGCCUCGCUCUCUCCCUCUACGUGCUCAGGAUCGAGCUGUGCUUGCCAGGCUGGCGCUUCUCCAUGACCAUGGUGGCCAGUUUUCUGAAGGUGGGCGGGCAGCUACUGAUGCCAGGGGUGGCCACUCUGUGCCGCCAUUGGCCGAACGGGGAUGACUGGCAGGUGCUGCAGAUCGUCAUCAUCAGCCCUUUUGUUCUGAUGCUGCCAUAUGUCUGGAUUUUUCCCGAAUCGCUGCGCUGGUUGCUGGCCACCCAGCACUACAAGCGGUCCAAAGCCAUGAUGCUGCGCAUCGCCAGGAAGAACCAGGUUGACAUGGCAACAGAGCCCAGUGGAGUUCUCGCAGAACUGGAGCAGGAGCUACACAAGAAACCCCAGAGGAGCUGCAUUAUCAAGAUGAUGAGCACCAGGAACCUGUGGAAAAACAUAGUUGUGCUAUGUGUGAACUCUCUGACAGGUUAUGGGAUCCACCACUGCUUCGCCCGCAGUAUGAUGGACCCGGAGGCCCAGCCCACGGCUUUGUGCCACGCCGACUACUACACCAUGGCGGGCAUUGCCGUGGCCACAUGCCUGGCUCUUUGCCCUGCAGUGGGGCUGAUGGGUCGGCGCGGGGGACUGCUCACCUUCAUGAUUAUAACAGCUCUAGCAUCACUACUGCAGCUGGGUCUGCUCAACUUAAUUGGAAAGUACAGCCUCCGCCAUGACACAGUUCUGCGAGACACUCUGAACAGAAAAUUCUCGGUGGCCUUCUCUAUCAUUGGCAUGUUCUCCUCUCACGCCGUCAGCACACUUAGCAUUUUCUUUUGUGCUGAAAUCACGCCAACUGUCAUCAGGGGUGGAGGUCUGGGCCUCGUCCUGGCCAGCGCCGGCUUCGGGAUGCUCACCGCCCCCAUCAUGGAGCUGCACAACCAAAAGGGCUACUUCCUGCAUCACGUGAUCUUCGCCUGCUGCACGCUGCUGUGCAUCAUCUGCCUGCUGCUGCUGCCGGAGCCGCGGGGUCAGCCGCUGCCGGAGAGCCUGGCCGACGGCGAGACCUUCACCCGCCAGACCCUGCUCCAUCCCGGCGAGCAGCACCUCCUCCUCGUCAAGUACGAGAGGGACUACUCGCGCGUCCACGACACGCCGCUACAUCUCACGGCCACGGGAGGCACCACGGCGGCGGUGGCCACCGCUCUGGCAGCGGUACCUGCCUCGUACUCUCUGGCCACUGGUGGCGAGGUGAUUGGUAAUUGCACCAUAGCCAACGGGGUGUGAGCGGCGCAGCGAUCGUCUUCUGCUGCGCGAAUAACUGAUGCAGUGAUAACCAGAUGUAAGAUGAGAUCAAAUGUUUUUUUUUUUUGGGGGGGGGGGGGGGGGGGCAACUAAAUGUUCAGACAAACCAGAUGAACUGCUGUUAAUCUGUAGUGAGGUUUGAGAUGAUGACAAUGAUAGCCAGUGUGCGUACCGUUAAGUGACAAUGAUUCAUUCAGGAGUCGCCAAAAAAUGUCGGACAGACCAUGUUUGUCUGAAGUCAGACUGUUUUUUUUUUUCUUUCUUUCUUUUUUAUCCUGUGCUGCUGAAAAUAAACGGACGCGGGCGACUAGACCAACAGCAGAUCAACUCUCUGGGUUUUGUGUUUGCAGUUUUGACUUGUUGAAACAGGAUCAGUUUCUGUGGGCCCAAGUAGCUCCUAGGUGUGGAAAAACUAGUUGGGGCCCACGUCUGCUUUUUGUUGGACUUACAGGUCACGGAUAACCUAAGUAAAUAAGUAGAUACAAAAGGCGGUUUUCGAAUAAUAAUGUCAUAUAUUAAGUGGGGGAAAAAAAGCUGAACAAACCAACCUGGACCUAUGUGAAAAGAUACUCUGGUAGAGAUCAGCAUUCAUGGCUCCAUUCCCAGCAAGGCGUCUUAAGUACUGAAGCGGCACAUUUAUAUUCCGCGUCAGCAGAA
Molecule: RNA transcript, 2736 nt
Organism: Fundulus heteroclitus (mummichog)
Lineage: Eukaryota; Metazoa; Chordata; Actinopteri; Cyprinodontiformes; Fundulidae
Gene: slc22a23b
Gene name: solute carrier family 22 member 23
Exons: 11
Source: RefSeq, a predicted model, not a curated record